UCCAGCAGCCAUAUCACCCUACAACAGGCAACCCACUGAAGCUAAGCAGGUGUGAGCCUGGUCAGUACCUUGAUGGGAGACCUCCUGGGAAAAACUAAUGUUGCUGCUGGAA
Molecule: ribosomal RNA, 112 nt
Filed under: Lepisosteus oculatus (spotted gar)
Lineage: Eukaryota; Metazoa; Chordata; Actinopteri; Semionotiformes; Lepisosteidae
Source: RNAcentral